CUGGGCGUAAGCGCACGCAGGCGGUCUGUCAAGUCGGAUGUGAAAUCCCCGGGCUCAACCUGGGAACUGCAUUCGAAACUGGCAGGCUAGAGUCUUGUAGAGGGGGGUAGAAUUCCAGGUGUAGCGGUGAAAUGCGUAGAGAUCUGGAGGAAUACCGGUGGCGAAGGCGGCCCCCUGGACAAAGACUGACGCUCAGGUGCGAAAGCGUGGGGAGCAAACAGGAUUAGAUACCCUGGUAGUCCACGCCGUAAACGAUGUCGACUUGGAGGUUGUGCCCUUGAGGCGUGGCUUCCGGAGCUAACGCGUUAAGUCGACCGCCUGGGGAGUACGGCCGCAAGGUUAAAACUCAAAUGAAUUGACGGGGGCCCGCACAAGCGGUGGAGCAUGUGGUUUAAUUCGAUGCAACGCGAAGAACCUUACCUACUCUUGACAUCCAGAGAACUUUCCAGAGAUGGAUUGGUGCCUUCGGGAACUCUGAGACAGGUGCUGCAUGGCUGUCGUCAGCUCGUGUUGUGAAAUGUUGGGUUAAGUCCCGCAACGAGCGCAACCCUUAUCCUUUGUUGCCAGCG
RNAcentral lists this ribosomal RNA (569 nucleotides) under Enterobacter hormaechei. RNAcentral describes it as "bacterial SSU rRNA". It matches the Rfam family "Bacterial small subunit ribosomal RNA", at positions 554 to 1123 of the family's 1533-position model. Lineage: Bacteria; Pseudomonadati; Pseudomonadota; Gammaproteobacteria; Enterobacterales; Enterobacteriaceae. The record is from RNAcentral.